UUGGAGGAAAGCAGGGGAUCGCAAGACCUUGCGCUUUUGGAGUGGCCGAUGCCUGAUUAGCUAGUUGGUGGGGUAAGAGCCUACCAAGGCGACGAUCAGUAGUUGGUCUGAGAGGACGACCAGCCACACUGGGACUGAGACACGGCCCAGGCUCCUACGGGAGGCAGCAGUGGGGAAUUUUGGACAAUGGGCGAAAGCCUGAUCCAGCAAUGCCGCGUGAGUGAAGAAGGCCUUCGGGUUGUAAAGCUCUUUCAGUCGAGAAGAAAAGGUCGCGACUAAUAAUCGCGACUCAUGACGGUAUCGACAGAAGAAGCACCGGCUAACUACGUGCCAGCAGCCGCGGUAGUACGUAGGGUGCGAGCGUUAAUCGGAAUUACUGGGCGUAAAGGGUGCGCAGGCGGCUUUGUAAGUCAGAUGUGA
Molecule: ribosomal RNA, 420 nt
Filed under: uncultured ammonia-oxidizing beta proteobacterium
Lineage: Bacteria; Pseudomonadati; Pseudomonadota; Betaproteobacteria
Description: bacterial SSU rRNA
Rfam family: Bacterial small subunit ribosomal RNA
Source: RNAcentral